This 85-nucleotide small nucleolar RNA is filed under the name Triticum aestivum (bread wheat). Lineage: Eukaryota; Viridiplantae; Streptophyta; Magnoliopsida; Poales; Poaceae. The record is from RNAcentral.
GCUCAGAUGAUGCUAAAACUACCAAGUUAUUCCUGAGAUUUCCCUUUGAGGAUUACAAAAUCGAGCCUUUUAAAGCUGAUGGGUA